Molecule: ribosomal RNA, 619 nt
Filed under: uncultured bacterium
Lineage: Bacteria
Description: bacterial SSU rRNA
Rfam family: Bacterial small subunit ribosomal RNA
Source: RNAcentral
GGAUGAGCCCGCGGCCUAUCAGCUUGUUGGUGAGGUAAUGGCUCACCAAGGCUUCGACGGGUAGCCGGCCUGAGAGGGUGACCGGCCACACUGGGACUGAGACACGGCCCAGACUCCUACGGGAGGCAGCAGUGGGGAAUAUUGGACAAUGGGCGGAAGCCUGAUCCAGCAACGCCGCGUGAGGGAUGACGGCCUUCGGGUUGUAAACCUCUUUCAGCACAGACGAAGCGCAAGUGACGGUAUGUGCAGAAGAAGGACCGGCCAACUACGUGCCAGCAGCCGCGGUAAUACGUAGGGUCCGAGCGUUGUCCGGAAUUAUUGGGCGUAAAGGGCUCGUAGGCGGUUUGUCACGUCGGGAGUGAAAACCAGGUGCUUAACACCUGGCCUGCUUUCGAUACGGGCAGACUAGAGGUACUCAGGGGAGAAUGGAAUUCCUGGUGUAGCGGUGAAAUGCGCAGAUAUCAGGAGGAACACCGGUGGCGAAGGCGGUUCUCUGGGAGUAUCCUGACGCUGAGGAGCGAAAGUGUGGGGAGCGAACAGGAUUAGAUACCCUGGUAGUCCACACCGUAACGUUGGGCGCUAGGUGUGGGAUCCAUUCCACGGGGUUCCGUGCCGCAUC